This is a long non-coding RNA of Mytilus californianus (California mussel), 2932 nucleotides long. RefSeq lists it as uncharacterized. Lineage: Eukaryota; Metazoa; Mollusca; Bivalvia; Mytilida; Mytilidae. The transcript has 6 exons. The record is from RefSeq and is a predicted model, not a curated record.
AUCACUUACCAAGCAUAUGUAUAAGCGUAACUGUAAAUAGAUUUAUGUAUUGUGUCAUACACAUAUUUGUUUUUGGAAAUUUGUUAUCUCAAACAUAUCCUUCUGUAUAUUCAACAGAAGAUUUAAACGGUCUAUGGACACAACAUACGACAUUACAAUCAACUCCUUAUACAACAGUUUUUAAUGUGAGUGAAGCCAUAUAUACAUGGGAUAGGGCUGCCAAUAACUGCAUAAAUGGCUGGACAUUGUCUGGAGAGGGCAUAUUCAAUUCUUGUCGUUCAGAUGUACAUGUAUGUCAUACUAUUAAUGCAAAUGAUCUACUGCCAAAUAUAAAAAAGAAACCUCCUUUUCUUUGGAAAGAUGGCUAUGCAGUACGGUCCCCUGUCAUAGAAUAUCACGGUAAAAUAGAGUGAUCAAUAGUUUUUAAGUUUUUAAGUUGUUAUUGUUUUCAAAUUAUAGUCUUUAAUAUGAACAUAUCUUUAAUAUGAACAUAUCUUUAAUAUGUACAAUACAAAUUGUACUGCACCAGAUGCGCAUUUUGACCUUUAAUGUUUCUCACGCGAUGCACAAGGAUAAAGUAUUUGAAUGUCCAAAAACUAAUACAAACGUUGAGAGCUAAUCAAAAACAAAUAGCACCAAAGUGAGGCAAAACCCGGGAAAUAAAACUGAUUUUAAAACGAAUGAAAUACAAUACGUAAUUCAAAAUGAUUUCGAAAUUGUAUAACAGCAAGUUUUUUUCUUGUCAAUUACGAAUUUUGCGUCUAUUUUUUAUUUCAACUUUUUGCGAUUAAAGUAUAUAAGCUAAAUGUGAUAUAAUCAGAGAGACCUAUGCUGAUCAUGUAUUGACAUUGGUUGACUGGAGUUUAUUUUAUGCUCAUCAUUUCAAUCGGGCAUCUAUUCAUAAAGGCAUGUUUACAUAUAGAUGUAUUUGUUGACCUAUCUGUUUUGUGUGUGUGUAUGUAUGUAUGUGUGUGUGUGAGUCGGUAAGUUUUUCGUUUAUUUGUAUCUAGUAAGACAAUCAAUUAAAUUUAUACAUAACAAGCAUGAAUCCUUUUUACGUAUGUGAUAGUUUAUUAGAUACUAAAUCUGACAGAUGAAUAUUGCUUUGCAUUGCACAGAUAAAUUGUAAUACAAUACCUCACUAUUAGGUCAGUCGUAUUUUCUUGCGUUUUAUCUAAAAAUAAAAAUACAUGAUCAAAUAAUUAUUCUUGUGCUGUGCCAGUAAAAAAAGCCGUUUACCCUCCCGGAAAGCCGAAUGACAUGCCAGUGUAUUAAAGGGUUAGUCGUGAUAAACUCAUUAUCUAUACAAAGAUUUUUUUUUUCACGUGAGACUAAAUAGAGACGUUCGAAUCAAAAACGUAAAUGCUAAUAAAAGUACGAAGGGAUGUUAGUUUGAUGAUGCAUGUUGAACUGCCUUGUUUUCUUUACCAAUUCUAUAUCCAACAUCCUGCUUUUCCGAGUGACAGUUUCAAUUCCCUGUCCUUCAUUUCGAUCGACCGAAUUAUUGACUGCGGUAAAGCAUUCAAAUAGAUCCCAGGUCUUCUCCAAUCUGCAGUGAAACCAAUGUUUUAAAGUUUUAUCAGUAUGUUUGUACAGGCUGUAUAAAUAAUAGGCAAUUCAAAUCAUAAUACAAGCAUGAUCAGGGUUUAAUCAGUUGUAGACGCUUGGAACCACUCGAUAAGGGAUACAUAAGGACAUGUUUAAAACUCCACGUUUGCAUUUGAAAAUGCCGAAACACCGGUUUGCUUUUAACCAUUUACUGUUAAUCUGCAGUCUCAAAUCGUUUGUCUCUUUAGGAAUAAAAGUCAGGGUACGCAACUGUUAAAUCGGUGCUCCAAAUACAAAAUGACAGGAAAAUAUUAUCAAAUACCUUUUUAUCCAAAAAUUCGCAAACAUUUAUGAUGCAAUCGGUCCUUCAUUUAAUGGCUAAUCUGUUUCUAUUUCAAUUUUUUUUUUUUUUUUUUUUUUUUGUUGUUGUGUUAUUAUUUUAUUCUAGAGUGUUUGAAGUUUAGCAACGUGAACAGUACAGCAAAUUUAUUAACACAUACAAAAAAGCUGAUCCUUAAUGGGGUCGAAAAGUGUUCUCUUUUUUGUCAACAAGAUGGAAACUUAAAGGACAAAGACAUCAUUUUACUACAGAAUGAAACGUGCUAUUGUUUGCCGGAGAAAACGCAACGACAAUGGAAUGAGAUGAUAGAUGUAAUACAAAAGACUUCUACUCACGACUGCGAUAUGCAAUGUGUUGAUGACAAAUUUGACAGAUGUGGAGGCAAAACAAAUCUUUUUCAUCGUAUAAACUGAUGGAAUUACCGAUGAGUGCAGAAAUCGGUGGAAAUUGUUUCUAUACGUCCGGCAGCAGUACACAAGUCAAACGUACUAGAUGUAAAGAAGAAUUAAAGUUAAAGUGUGAAGAAGUCAUACAAUCAGAUGGAAUCAGGAAUCUCAAGGUCAAAUGUUACGAAAUUAUGUUGAAUUGGUAUGAUGCAAGACAAGCGUGCAAUCGGUCUGGAAGAUAUAUUCAACUUUUGAACAACAAGUGUGAUAAUAACGAAGAUCUUAGAGCAGACAAAAUAUGGCACAAUAGUUUCAUUAAAGAGAGAAUUGUUUGGAAUACAAGUAUGAUAUAUCUUCAUAAUAACAUUCGCAGUAUUACAUUAUAACAGAAUCAUCAAAACAUUUUCAGCUACUAAGAUAAUAUGAUUUAGCAAACAUGCUAGCCAGUUAAAAACCAGGUUUAAUCCACCAUUGUCUACACAAGGAUAUGUCUGUACCAAGUCACGAAUAGGACAGUUGUUUUUCAUUAGUUUGAUAUGUUCGAGCUCUCAAUUUUGCCAUUUGUUGAGGAAAUACCGUUUUAAAUUUUCUUUGGAGUUCUUUUUUUUAUUAUUAUUUUACUUUUUCAAUACAAAAGAUAAAUUAAAUCACAUAUUUA